This 395-nucleotide ribosomal RNA is filed under the name uncultured bacterium. Its description in RNAcentral is "partial 16S ribosomal RNA". It matches the Rfam family "Bacterial small subunit ribosomal RNA", at positions 523 to 918 of the family's 1533-position model. The record is from RNAcentral.
AUACGUAGGGUGCAAGCGUUAAUCGGAAUUACUGGGCGUAAAGCGUGCGCAGGCGGUUUUGGAAGACAGUGGUGAAAUCCCCGGGCUCAACCUGGGAACUGCCAUUGUGACUGCAAGGCUGGAGUGCGGCAGAGGGGGAUGGAAUUCCGCGUGUAGCAGGGAAAUGCGUAGAUAUGCGGAGGAACACCGAUGGCGAAGGCAAUCCCCUGGGCCUGCACUGACGCUCAUGCACGAAAGCGUGGGGAGCAAACAGGAUUAGAUACCCUGGUAGUCCACGCCCUAAACGAUGUCAACUGGUUGUUGGGGAUUUAUUUUCUCAGUAACGAAGCUAACGCGUGAAGUUGACCGCCUGGGGAGUACGGCCGCAAGGUUAAAACUCAAAGGAAUUGACGGGG